Molecule: ribosomal RNA, 2931 nt
Filed under: Escherichia coli
Lineage: Bacteria; Pseudomonadati; Pseudomonadota; Gammaproteobacteria; Enterobacterales; Enterobacteriaceae
Also listed under: 2 other names
Description: 23S ribosomal RNA
Rfam family: Bacterial large subunit ribosomal RNA
Source: RNAcentral
GGGUUGUGAGGUUAAGCGACUAAGCGUACACGGUGGAUGCCCUGGCAGUCAGAGGCGAUGAAGGACGUGCUAAUCUGCGAUAAGCGUCGGUAAGGUGAUAUGAACCGUUAUAACCGGCGAUUUCCGAAUGGGGAAACCCAGUGUGUUUCGACACACUAUCAUUAACUGAAUCCAUAGGUUAAUGAGGCGAACCGGGGGAACUGAAACAUCUAAGUACCCCGAGGAAAAGAAAUCAACCGAGAUUCCCCCAGUAGCGGCGAGCGAACGGGGAGCAGCCCAGAGCCUGAAUCAGUGUGUGUGUUAGUGGAAGCGUCUGGAAAGGCGCGCGAUACAGGGUGACAGCCCCGUACACAAAAAUGCACAUACUGUGAGCUCGAUGAGUAGGGCGGGACACGUGGUAUCCUGUCUGAAUAUGGGGGGACCAUCCUCCAAGGCUAAAUACUCCUGACUGACCGAUAGUGAACCAGUACCGUGAGGGAAAGGCGAAAAGAACCCCGGCGAGGGGAGUGAAAAAGAACCUGAAACCGUGUACGUACAAGCAGUGGGAGCACGCUUCGGCGUGUGACUGCGUACCUUUUGUAUAAUGGGUCAGCGACUUAUAUUCUGUAGCAAGGUUAACCGAAUAGGGGAGCCGAAGGGAAACCGAGUCUUAACUGGGCGUUAAGUUGCAGGGUAUAGACCCGAAACCCGGUGAUCUAGCCAUGGGCAGGUUGAAGGUUGGGUAACACUAACUGGAGGACCGAACCGACUAAUGUUGAAAAAUUAGCGGAUGACUUGUGGCUGGGGGUGAAAGGCCAAUCAAACCGGGAGAUAGCUGGUUCUCCCCGAAAGCUAUUUAGGUAGCGCCUCGUGAAUUCAUCUCCGGGGGUAGAGCACUGUUUCGGCAAGGGGGUCAUCCCGACUUACCAACCCGAUGCAAACUGCGAAUACCGGAGAAUGUUAUCACGGGAGACACACGGCGGGUGCUAACGUCCGUCGUGAAGAGGGAAACAACCCAGACCGCCAGCUAAGGUCCCAAAGUCAUGGUUAAGUGGGAAACGAUGUGGGAAGGCCCAGACAGCCAGGAUGUUGGCUUAGAAGCAGCCAUCAUUUAAAGAAAGCGUAAUAGCUCACUGGUCGAGUCGGCCUGCGCGGAAGAUGUAACGGGGCUAAACCAUGCACCGAAGCUGCGGCAGCGACACUAUGUGUUGUUGGGUAGGGGAGCGUUCUGUAAGCCUGUGAAGGUGUACUGUGAGGUAUGCUGGAGGUAUCAGAAGUGCGAAUGCUGACAUAAGUAACGAUAAAGCGGGUGAAAAGCCCGCUCGCCGGAAGACCAAGGGUUCCUGUCCAACGUUAAUCGGGGCAGGGUGAGUCGACCCCUAAGGCGAGGCCGAAAGGCGUAGUCGAUGGGAAACAGGUUAAUAUUCCUGUACUUGGUGUUACUGCGAAGGGGGGACGGAGAAGGCUAUGUUGGCCGGGCGACGGUUGUCCCGGUUUAAGCGUGUAGGCUGGUUUUCCAGGCAAAUCCGGAAAAUCAAGGCUGAGGCGUGAUGACGAGGCACUACGGUGCUGAAGCAACAAAUGCCCUGCUUCCAGGAAAAGCCUCUAAGCAUCAGGUAACAUCAAAUCGUACCCCAAACCGACACAGGUGGUCAGGUAGAGAAUACCAAGGCGCUUGAGAGAACUCGGGUGAAGGAACUAGGCAAAAUGGUGCCGUAACUUCGGGAGAAGGCACGCUGAUAUGUAGGUGAAGUCCCUCGCGGAUGGAGCUGAAAUCAGUCGAAGAUACCAGCUGGCUGCAACUGUUUAUUAAAAACACAGCACUGUGCAAACACGAAAGUGGACGUAUACGGUGUGACGCCUGCCCGGUGCCGGAAGGUUAAUUGAUGGGGUUAGCGGUAACGCGAAGCUCUUGAUCGAAGCCCCGGUAAACGGCGGCCGUAACUAUAACGGUCCUAAGGUAGCGAAAUUCCUUGUCGGGUAAGUUCCGACCUGCACGAAUGGCGUAAUGAUGGCCAGGCUGUCUCCACCCGAGACUCAGUGAAAUUGAACUCGCUGUGAAGAUGCAGUGUACCCGCGGCAAGACGGAAAGACCCCGUGAACCUUUACUAUAGCUUGACACUGAACAUUGAGCCUUGAUGUGUAGGAUAGGUGGGAGGCUUUGAAGUGUGGACGCCAGUCUGCAUGGAGCCGACCUUGAAAUACCACCCUUUAAUGUUUGAUGUUCUAACGUUGACCCGUAAUCCGGGUUGCGGACAGUGUCUGGUGGGUAGUUUGACUGGGGCGGUCUCCUCCUAAAGAGUAACGGAGGAGCACGAAGGUUGGCUAAUCCUGGUCGGACAUCAGGAGGUUAGUGCAAUGGCAUAAGCCAGCUUGACUGCGAGCGUGACGGCGCGAGCAGGUGCGAAAGCAGGUCAUAGUGAUCCGGUGGUUCUGAAUGGAAGGGCCAUCGCUCAACGGAUAAAAGGUACUCCGGGGAUAACAGGCUGAUACCGCCCAAGAGUUCAUAUCGACGGCGGUGUUUGGCACCUCGAUGUCGGCUCAUCACAUCCUGGGGCUGAAGUAGGUCCCAAGGGUAUGGCUGUUCGCCAUUUAAAGUGGUACGCGAGCUGGGUUUAGAACGUCGUGAGACAGUUCGGUCCCUAUCUGCCGUGGGCGCUGGAGAACUGAGGGGGGCUGCUCCUAGUACGAGAGGACCGGAGUGGACGCAUCACUGGUGUUCGGGUUGUCAUGCCAAUGGCACUGCCCAGUAGCUAAAUGCGGAAGAGAUAAGUGCUGAAAGCAUCUAAGCACGAAACUUGCCCCGAGAUGAGUUCUCCCUGACUCCUUGAGAGUCCUGAAGGAACGUUGAAGACGACGACGUUGAUAGGCCGGGUGUGUAAGCGCAGCGAUGCGUUGAGCUAACCGGUACUAAUGAACCGUGAGGCUUAACCUUACAACGCCGAAGCUGUU